Molecule: unclassified non-coding RNA, 4384 nt
Filed under: Mizuhopecten yessoensis (Yesso scallop)
Lineage: Eukaryota; Metazoa; Mollusca; Bivalvia; Pectinida; Pectinidae
Description: uncharacterized LOC110463040, transcript variant X3
Source: RNAcentral
UCAAUAUGACAUGUCAGUAAUGUACAUGAAAUGUGUCGUUUGCACGUUAGUCAAUGGUUCAAUCCUCGACAGCUAUAAUGUGCUAUAAUGUCUGCACAUGCAAACUCUGGUCAGGAAUUUGUAAGUCUAUUGUAUCGAUAUCGAUUGAGUAACAUCUGGUCUAGUAUUUACGUAUAUACAGAUAUGAUCGAAUAAACCUGGAGAUACAUCAUACAAUCACAAGGAUAGUGCCCAGGUUUGAUCUGCUCGAUGAAGUCAGCAGAUCAAUAAGAAACGGUGGACGGUUUGGUACGCCACUGUGUGAAAGACGCCUUGUCUUGGCCAAGAGCUGAACAGUGUAUCGAGGCAGGGUGGCCACCAGCUGAAAUGAUUGAAUUAUAGGCCAGGAAUACGUGAUACCACAUAUAUUUAUAUAAAGUGUUCUUUGGGAGAAGGAUUUGGAUAUACAUACCGCCGUAUCUGUAUGUCCAUUGGUGGGAGUUGACGAUAUCACAGAUAUAUCCACGACAAAUCCCGCUGGCACCAUCUCCGUAUAGCGUGGUCAGCAGAGAAUCUGCCCUGGGUACCCCUUGUGGGAUUGGCAAUCAAUGGAAAUGAAUAACCUGGAGGGACAGAAGGGCAAAAAAUUAUAUACGGAAGAACAAUUUUCUAGCGAGGAAGCUGAGAUCAUUGUAGCUGAGGAGACUGAGGUUCUCAGUAAGACACAUGUUCUGCUGUUAAAUCUGUCAUGGUUCGGUCUCAGCCUCAUGUUCCUUCUGCUCUCAGUGGAGGUUGUACCUGCACAGAUCCGUUCGCUGGUAGGGGAGGCAGCCAAGGGGAGAUGGCUUGGCGGCAUGGUGGCGUGCGGGGCAGCGGUGACGUUCGUGACAAGUCCUCUGAUUGGUAUGCUGAGUGACCGAUCGACUUUACAGGCCGGCAAACGCCGUCCAGUGAUGAUAGCAGGAACAGUCGUUCUAUGCCUAGGACUGAUUGGAAUGGCAUUAAGUUCAUCAAAAAUACCGGUUUUGAGAGGGGGAAUUAACCUAUCUAAAAACUCAACGAAUAUGUGUGAUCGUGACCUUGUGGCUCACCGCUGCUUCCCGUUCUGGAACAACACCAAUACCAGACUGUUCAAACAUCAUCACACUGUCCUCAGGGGAUCCCAACCAGCCUCCAUCUUACUUCCAGAGAAAAAAUCCUACAUAUCUGAACUAGAAUCAGAACCCGUGGGAAGUUUACCUAUGUACAUAGUGUUUUACCUCGUCGUCACCACUGCCUUUGCCAUCAUCACCGUGCCGUACAUUGCCCUCAUCGCCGACAAGUCUCAUCCUUCACAGCGAGGGUUUAACUCCGGUGUGAUGGGCGCAAUGAUACUGUUGGGAAACCUGAGUGGUGCGGCUGUUGGAACGUGUUUUACGCAAAUCGGUGUCCUUGGUGCCUAUGGGACGGCCAUAGCAGUGGUGAUGGUGAGCGUUUGUUUGACAAUUUUCACUACACGAGAGAGGCAAGGCAAGGGAGUGUCGGAACCGCUCGAUUGUACUACAAUAUUUACCGCCUUCUGGCAGCCAUUAAAAGAACAUGACUUUCGCUGGGUGUUUAUCACGAGGUUUCUGAUGCAGCAGGGCGUGUCUACAGUUACCGGCUUCCUCGAGUACUGGUUGUCCGACAUGAUCCAUAUCCCCUAUUGCUGGUCAGAGUCACGCGCAGUCGCAAUGAUGCUGCUACCUCUACUGUGUGCCGCGUCCUUAAGUUCUAUAGUAUUCGGCGUGAUAUCUGAUCGGUUUGGAAGACGGAAACCUAUGAUAAUAAGCGCAGCGCUGAUCAUGUCUGUUAGUACCUCCACACUGACGUAUAUCAGUGGUUAUAAUGCUUAUUUCAUCGCUCUAGUCAUGGCCUUCCUUUUCGGAAUCGGUUUCGGUUCAUUCCAGUCUGUAGAUUUUGCACUGGUCAUGGAUGUACUUCAGGAUGACAAAGAUAAAGCUAACAACAUCGCAGUGUGGCACCAAGCCCUCGUCCUCCCCAACGCUUUAGCUACUCCUGUGGGCGGCAUUAUCUUAGAUUACUUUGAGAGUGUAGAUUGCGAACUCGGUCUCGGUUAUAUUAUAUUGUUUGCAGUAACUGCCGUGUAUUUUCUGUUAAGUGCCAUAUUUGUAAAUAAGAUAAGACGUGCGUCAUGAGCAGACAAAGCAUUGGUAUGUCCCUUAAAUAGAAUACGUCACAAAGUUAAUAUCGACAGAGAAAUAAUUUCACAUUUAACACAUAUAAUUAUUGACAUCAGGAUAGCCUUGAUCACAGUAGGUAUAGACAUAUUGAUUCUCCGGCAUUCUAGGCAAUGACAGAUGAGCCUAUAUAGAUAAUUAAAUACACUCUUUUUGCAACUAAUAAAUAUAUGUAUAAUCUAACCUCCGCAGACUAAUUGCUGGUACCACAACCAGUUGAUUACUUUACAUGAUAUUAUAUACAAAGAUAUUUUCCAAGAUUAUAAAUACCGCGGCAAUUUUCAAUUACAAAAUGUAUUAUUUUUUUAAUAAAUUGGCAAUGUGAAUCCGUCAAGUCAGUAGGACAGUAUAUAUUCCAGAUCAAGCAACACAUAGACCUAGCUAUUUCGAAGACAUUUCGCACUAAACUAAUGUGUAGGUUCCUCACAAAUAGAAGAAAAUUUGUAGAACAUCAUAGCUCGACUUCCGAAUGAAAUUCCUAGCAUAGUUCAGUCGAAAACAGAUAAAAUGUUUGACUCCUCAGGAGCCUUCAAACCAAAUAUCACUAUUCCUGGUAAUAAUAUCGAUUGUCAUAUUAAUAAUAAUUUCAUGACAAAAUCCGAACUUUUAAGCAUCAUAUUUCGGCAUAAAAACUAAAGCGCAAAACAGUUAAAAAUAAAAGAAUAAAAUGAACUUAAAAAUUCCGUUUAUUCCUGUUUUGACUGCGGUGCCACAAUGGUUGACCCAGCGGGAACAGGAUGUCUAGCAUCAGUAUUCUUAUUCAAAUACUGAAUACUAUUUAUAGUGAAUUUAAUUACUCAUACACGAAUGUUUACCAUAACACCUUGACAAAAACUGGGUGGUGUUUUUUUUGCCGGCACUGCAUCCAUGUAUGACCCUAACAGAACAUCUCUGAUAAAUACGAGCAUCGUUGUUGGAAUACUGAAAGGAUAUUAGUAGAGAUAUGGGACAGUAAUGGUAGAAAGGUAAGGUAGAUCUGGGGCGAGCUAGGGGACAGUAAUGGUAGAAAGGUAAUGUAGAUCUGGGGCGAGCUAUGUGACAGUAAUGGUAGAAAGGUAGGAUAGAUCUGGGGAGAGAUAUGGACAGUAAUGGUAGAAAGGUAAUGUAGAUCUGGGGAGAGAUAUGGGACAGUAACGGUAGAAAGGUAAUGUAAAUCUGGGGAGAGAUAUGGACAGUAAUGGUAGAAAGUGAAGGUAAGGUAGAUAUGGGGAGAGAUAUGGACAGUAAUGGUAGAAAGGUAAUGAAGAUCUGGGGAGAGAUAUGGGACAGUAAUGGUAGAAAGGUAAUGUAGAUCUGGGGCGAGCUAUGGGACAGUAAUGGUAGAAAGUGAAGGUAGAUCUGGGGAAAGAUAUGAACAGUAAUGGUAGAAAGGAAAUGUAGAUCUUGGGAGAGAUAUGGGACAGUAAUGGUAGAAAGUGAAGGUAAUGUAGAUCUGGGGCGAGAUAUGGGACAGUAAUGGUAGAAGUGAGGGUAAUGUAGAUCUGGGGAGAGAUAUGAACAGUAAUGGUAGAAAGUGAAGAUAAUGUAGAACUGGGGAGAGAUAUGAGCAGUAAUGGUAGAAGUGAAGGUAAUGUAGAUCUGGGGAGAGAUAUGAACAGUAAUGGUAGAAAGGUAAUGUAGAUCUGGGGAGAGAUAUGGGACAGUAAUGGUAGAAAGGUAAUGUAGAUCUGGGGAGUGAUAUGGGAUAUGGUAAAUCGAGAUAAAAUAAUUUGAUUGGAAGAAAUGGCGUAUAACACAAGUGAUUUUGGUAAUAUAUUGUUAGUCUUUCUGUAAAACAUAGUCAGUGUCUAAUCGUACUUAAUUCCUGUUAUUUAUCAAGGACAAAACAUCCAUAGUCUAUUGAUGUCUUCAGAGUUUAAGUCUAAACUGUUGACUUAUUCUACCACUUGAAAUUCAAAGUUUGAUAUUUUGGCCAAAAUUUAAUACUUUCGAAUUGUUUCUUAUAAUGCACAGCGGUAAUUCGCAAAAUUAUAAACUCUUUAGCGUCUGCUCAAAGUUAUAACUAGGCAGCUGAUUAAAUCAGUAUGGUUUAACUUACAUAUACACUGUUCUUAAUCUGUCUGUGAUAACGAUGAAGUUUGUUUGUUAACAGAAAUGAAAUAUUAUGAUGUUUGUUUAAUGCAAUGUUGAUCAUUGUUUUUUGUUGUUGAAACGAUUGCGAUUGUAGUUGUAUUAAAUUGAUAAGG